GUCCUGUUGGGCGGAACCUCUGCGGAGCGGGACGUUUCGUUAAAUUCCGGCGCGGCAGUGUUGGCCGGGUUACGUGAAGGCGGUAUUGAUGCGCAUCCCGUCGAUCCGCAAGAGGUCGAUGUCGCGCAGCUUAAAGUAAUGGGCUUUCAGAAGGUCUUUAUUGCGUUGCAUGGCCGCGGCGGUGAAGAUGGCACCUUACAGGGAAUGCUUGAGCUGCUCGGCCUGCCUUAUACCGGCAGCGGCGUGAUGGCCUCGGCGCUUUCCAUGGAUAAACUGCGCAGUAAAUUGCUGUGGCAGGGCGCGGGCUUACCG
This 312-nucleotide unclassified non-coding RNA is filed under the name uncultured fungus. RNAcentral's name for it is "partial internal transcribed spacer 1". The record is from RNAcentral. Lineage: Eukaryota; Fungi.